RNAcentral lists this unclassified non-coding RNA (796 nucleotides) under Athalia rosae (coleseed sawfly). Its description in RNAcentral is "misc RNA ENSAEAG00005011462.1". Lineage: Eukaryota; Metazoa; Arthropoda; Insecta; Hymenoptera; Athaliidae. The record is from RNAcentral.
CUGCAUUAAAAGCAGGGUCAGUAGCGAAAAUUAUUCAGUCUAGUUUCCGAACUCGAACGAGUCACUGCACUCUUAGGAGUAGCCCUGAUUACCAAACUCUUUGGAGUUAUUUUCAAUAUUCAUAAAAAUACUCUUAGGAGUUUUACUAUUUCAAAGUUAUAUCAUUAUAUUAAACCAAACUAUAUCAUAACCAGUUAUAUUCUAUAUUAUACCAAGUUAUACUCAAAACGUAUUUUACACCGAAAUUAUAGAAUAUAUAUAUAUAUCAAGCUAACUUUAGAUUCAAUAAUUACCUGUGAACCCUACACUCCCAACGACACAAGCAGCCGCAGAUCAGCAUCGAGCAAUCACAGUACAGCAUCAACCACCCGCAACCCAGCAUCAAGAUAUAUGGAUGGAGUUUAAAACUACUAGGGUCACUAUGGACAUCGGUGACUCACCUUCUUGUUUAUCUGGGACAUCAAAGUGCACAAGCCCAAGAUAAAAAAGAUGUUGAAAAGGACGAGACAUUGCAGCCAGCAAUCAGUCUUCAACCGGCAGCACCAUCAGGAGAAGAUAAACACCUCUAUCCACAACUAGUACAGCUGAGAAAUAACAUGGACAACGGAAUGACUAACGGAGUUCGUUAUUCUGAUAUAAGGGGGAGGUGUAACAUCCUCACCUCAGGCCGGACACCUUUAUUCACUUUCACGUUAUUCACUUUGAUAAAUUAACUAACUUCACGUUUGCGUAUGAAUAUCAUUUUUAUACUCUCUUUAUUUCAUAUCAUUAAUAAUGAUAAAACGUAUAUAUAUAC